GGCUUAAUUACUCUUUUGGUCCCUUAACUUAUUUUUUGGUUUCGUUUUGGUUCCUUAACUAUUAAAAGUUUCGUUUUGGUCCCUUAACUUAUUUUUUGGUCCCUUAACUCUAAUACAUUCAUCCUAACAUAAAGGACCAAAGUGGUUGACGGAGGAAGAGUUAAGGGACCAAAAUGAAACCAAAAAGUAAGUUAAAGGACCAAAACGAAACGUUUAAUAGUUAAGGGACCAAAACGAAACCAAAAAGUAAGUUAAGGGACCAAAACAAAACUUUUAAUAAUUAAGGGA
RNAcentral lists this microRNA precursor (288 nucleotides) under Medicago truncatula (barrel medic). RNAcentral's name for it is "MIR2655 microRNA precursor family". It matches the Rfam family "MIR2655 microRNA precursor family". The record is from Rfam by way of RNAcentral. Lineage: Eukaryota; Viridiplantae; Streptophyta; Magnoliopsida; Fabales; Fabaceae.